RNAcentral lists this ribosomal RNA (440 nucleotides) under uncultured bacterium. RNAcentral describes it as "partial 16S ribosomal RNA". It matches the Rfam family "Bacterial small subunit ribosomal RNA", at positions 338 to 795 of the family's 1533-position model. The record is from RNAcentral.
CCUACGGGUGGCAGCAGUAGGGAAUAUUGCUCAAUGGGGGAAACCCUGAAGCAGCCACGCCGCGUGGAGGAUGAAGGUUUUCGGAUUUUAAACUCCUUUUUUUAGAGAAGAUAAUUACGGUAUCUAACGAAUAAGCACCGUCAAACUCCGUGCCAGAUGCCGCGGUUAUACGGCGGGUGCAGGCUUUACUCGGAAUCACCGGGCGUAACGCGCGCGUAGGCGGGAUAGCAAGUCAGAUGUGAAAUCCUAUGGCUUAACCAUAGACCUGCAGUUGAAACUGGUAGUCUAGAGUAUGGGAGAGGUAGGUGGAAUUCGUGGUGUAGGGGUAAAAUCCGUAGAGAUCAAGAGGAAUACUGAUUGCGAAGGCGACCUGCUAGAACAUAACUGACGCUGAUGCGCGAAAGCGUGGGGAGCAAACAGGAUUAGAUACCCUUGUAGUC